RNAcentral lists this long non-coding RNA (1288 nucleotides) under Ananas comosus (pineapple). Its description in RNAcentral is "long non-coding RNA (ACOM_LNC035434)". The record is from RNAcentral. Lineage: Eukaryota; Viridiplantae; Streptophyta; Magnoliopsida; Poales; Bromeliaceae.
CUGUCAGUACAUUUAGGGUAUAAUUGGUUCAUGAUUGGAAUAUGAAUGAGCAGUGGAAGUGGAUUGCUUCAGAAUGAAAAAUAGAAUGACGAAUCAUCUAAAAAUGUUUGGUUCAUUAUUGGAAUGAAAAUCGGAAUGAAAAUUUAAAAUUUUUGACAGAGGAUUUUGAUUAAAAGAGAGAAAAGUGAUGAAGGGAGAGGAGGUAGGUGUUGAUGAAAGAGGAUUUUGAAUAGUUUACUUUGGAAUGAGCCAAUUCGAGAUUCAAAGCCGGAUUGGAUCAUAAAUGGAUUUGACUAUUCCCAUUCCGGAGUGGAAUGGAAAUCGGAAUCUGAUUCCUAUAAAACAAACGGCAACUAUCGGAAUCAAUGAAUUCUAUUCCGAUUCCGUAGUCUAAAAUAGGUGAACCAAACAUGCCCUGUCAAUGUAGAGGGAGGAAGGCUAUUGUGCUGCAGCUGCACCACAUGAUGAUGACCGAUUAGUUAUUUAUUUUUUUUAAAAAUAUAAUAAAAAUAUUUUUUUUUUAAAUUGUGAGAUGGUUGAAUUUUAUGGAAGGAAUUUGAUUGAUUGGAAACACCAUAUCAGUAAUAUAACUGUUAUAUUCUAGACUUUUUCAUAUAAAAGUGUAUAUUUUAUGUCUUUAAUUUUAAUUUUUUUUAUAAGACAAAUAACCAAAUGUAAGCCAUAAGAAACCUACAUUAAAUUUUAUACCUUUAUUAUAAUAGGUGUACAUAUAGUAUUUUGAGACUGUCUACUAUACUAUCGGUAGCACGAGACUUUCGUAUUAUCAAGUUUUUUUUUUUUUGUGAUGGGCAUCCGAACUGACAAUCAGCUUUGUUAUACUUAAUCUACACUAUUAAAAGUAUUUGAAAAUCAAAUUUCAUAAUUUUGCAACAUCAUUUACAUAUCAAACUGAGUAAUCCAAAAAUGAACUGCUGAAAAUAAAAAUCUAAUAAAACAGAAUGAUGAAAGACUUGAAUUUAAGAUAAGAGAUACUGGACUUAUUCUAAAUAGUGAAGAUAAUUUUCAAUAAAAAUUUUAUCAGAUUUGAAUUAUUUUACACCAUUAAAUUCAUGAAUACAUCACCUAUUAAAAUUAUUAAUUUUAAAAUCUUUUGAUCACUAGUCAAAUAAUAAAAAAAAAAAAUUCGGUUUCUAAAUAUUUUCAAAAACGUAGAACAUAUCUAACAGAGCCGAUCAUCAAUUCGGAAGCUGUAUCAUCGAAAACAACUUAGUAGUAUGGAGACUAUCGUGCUACCGAUAGUAUAAUAGCCGGACUCUAGUAUUUCUCC